This is a long non-coding RNA of Etheostoma cragini (Arkansas darter), 171 nucleotides long. RefSeq lists it as uncharacterized. Lineage: Eukaryota; Metazoa; Chordata; Actinopteri; Perciformes; Percidae. The record is from RefSeq and is a predicted model, not a curated record. The transcript has 3 exons.
AAAAAUAAAGGACAGAGAGAGAGUAGAAAGCGGGGGAGCUUUAUGGUCAUGGAUUGUGCUGAUGUACCAGCAGCUGUAUCUGUACCCUGUGCCGGGGCUUGGCUCACUGAAAGAUCCCCUGAGAAUGGACAAAAGGGUGUGCGUAGGGCCUAUGCUCUGAAUAUUUGAAAA